Molecule: non-coding RNA, 87 nt
Organism: Arthromyces matolae
Lineage: Eukaryota; Fungi; Basidiomycota; Agaricomycetes; Agaricales; Lyophyllaceae
Source: the annotation of a GenBank genome assembly
GGCCUGAUGGUCUAAGUAGUAGUAUGAUUCCUUGUUAGGGUACUCUAACUUUCGAGGAGGUCCCGGGUUCAAUUCCCGGUCAGGCCC